Molecule: long non-coding RNA, 1861 nt
Organism: Lycium ferocissimum
Lineage: Eukaryota; Viridiplantae; Streptophyta; Magnoliopsida; Solanales; Solanaceae
Exons: 2
Source: RefSeq, a predicted model, not a curated record
UAAUAAUAUAUGCAAUUCGGCUGAUAAGCGCUUGCGGUCGAAGGACCAUAGCAUUAGCAGUUGGGACUUCACUAUCUUUGGACCAAACGAUCCUCAAAUGUCAACUAAAAACCUGCCACAUAAAAUAGCUCACAAACAUAACAAAACAGAGUGGACACUCAAUGUUCUUUGGCUGCCUGGAAAUAAAGGUUCCCUCUUUGGUUUCUUCAAGAACCUCUCGUGGAGCAUGGUAUGGAUGUUUGCGUAAUUGCAUUAGCUGCCUAAUGUUACAUCGUUCUUUUAAUUGUCUUAACAUACUGCUAGAAAUAUUUGGCCUACUACUUCUCCAGCUAUAAGACCAUCUGAAGACCCCAAUCUUAUAGAUAAGCCCACGUGAUCUUUGCCUGAGUUAGUUGUUAAUUGUUAUGUCAAGCUUGAUUAGUUAGCUGCUUAGUCAAUAGUUAGUUAUCUAAGAUAUUUUCAGAGGUCGGUUAGUGCCUUUAUAUAUUGUACAGCUCAUUAUUUGUAAAGCAGUUAAUAUGAAAUGAAGAAAACAAUUUCCCCCUUAUUCCUUUCUCUAAAAUUCCUUCUCUGUUUCAUCAAUUCGACCUGAGUUUUGGAUUUUAACACAUACUCAUGACAAACGAGUAUGAUAUGAAUUACAUACUGCAAUUAUAUUCUCCAAGAUACACUACAAGUUUAAAUUUAAAAAAAGAAAAAAGAAAAAAAGGCUAGAAGUACCUUUGCCUGAUACACACAUUAUCCAUAUAGGAUCUUUUGGAAGUUAUUAGAGAAAGUUUAGACAUCGAGCUAGUUUGGAAGGUUUCAAAUUUCGUAUUACAGCAAUGAAUGAAUCUUUUAGGGAUCUGCAGUACCACAAUGAAGUGAAAUAAGCAUUAGUAGUUAGGCAUCAGGAAAUACUCGAAUCAUCCACUGAGGUGUUCAUUCUCAUGUUAGGCAGACUCCGAUACAUAUGAAGCCAAGUGCUUUACACUUCAGAGAGAGCAACGGGAAUGUUUUCUGUAUAGUCUAUUUCAUCCCACAUCGGGAAGAGCUAAUGCGUAGAUAGCCACUAACUGCUAUAAAAAUUGAGGCCCAUUCUUCUUUAAAAGCAUACCUUUCUCGGCCUUUUGGCUAAGAUCAAGUGUAGUAUCUGUUCUUAUUAGUUUAAUAUCUGAUAUGUGAGCCAUUGAUUCACAUGAUAUUAACUCAAUUUUUUAAGGGGAGAGUCCAUUAAGGUAGCUUGCUACUUGGGCUUUCACGUGUUGCCCAUGCGUUGCACUGCUGCUUGGGCCUGGCGCACCCCACCAAAUCUAGUCCAACAUUUAUGGGUAAUGUCUGAUAUCUGCUUCUCUACUCAGUUGAUGUGAUAUUUUACUUGGUUGGUUGGCCCUUAUUUUAAGAUUUCUGACCCAGCUUACAAAAAUAUUUUCGUGUUUAACAUAACAUUUGUAGUGAAAUUUCACCAGCAUUGAGCUAAAGUGCAAUUACUGUUAUUCUUGAUGUUAUACAAAUCACAAACUAUAUACCCUUACUUAGCUCUCUUUAUACUUCAUUCAAUCAUUUUUAACACAGGAAAUAAACAAAUAGUGAUCCAGUAGCGGGGAAGGGGCCUAGAAGUGCCUACUACUACACCACACACACUUGGCUCUACACAUUUUACAGAGCUAACCCCUGUCCAGUGCCCGGCAGAGCUAAGGGGCUUUUGCUCUUUUAAGUAAUCUUCCUAUAAAUUUGACAAGAUGUUAGUUAUUUGCCUAGUUCGUACGGCUCCUAGAUAAUUCACUUCGAUGUGACGAAUACUAGAACAUAUUCUUCAAUGGGUUGCUAAGUUAAAUUGGAUAUGUCUAAGUUCUAUUAAAGCAAACAAUGUUGACAAUCA